This is a long non-coding RNA of Paramacrobiotus metropolitanus, 536 nucleotides long. RefSeq lists it as uncharacterized. The record is from RefSeq and is a predicted model, not a curated record. Lineage: Eukaryota; Metazoa; Tardigrada; Eutardigrada; Parachela; Macrobiotidae. The transcript has 3 exons.
UGCGACGUGGCGAGGACGGUCAACUAGGAUUCUCGAUAGUAUCUGUUGGUGGGAAUGGAAAGUGGGCUGGAGAUAAGCCCAUCUUUGUGAAAACGAUCGAAGUCGGAGGAAGAGCCUAUGAUGACGGACGACUACAGCCUGGCGAUCUCAUUAUGCCGGUGAACGGACAGAGUUUGAAGGAAGCCACGCACGAUCGGGCAGCCAGCGUGUUGCGGAACGCCGGAAACGUAGUGGUCUUGGACGUUAUUCAUGUGAAUUUGUAUGUGUCUGCUCACCAUUCCUGUACCACUCCGAGUGGAUGCUCAUGGAUUGUGCUGCGGGAGAAACUUGGACUACUAGCAAUAAAUAAUCAAUGAUUGGUUAAGUAAUGUUAACAGUUAAAUAAGCAGCAGUUGGCUAAGUAGUGUUAACCAAUUGGUUAUAUGCCAUGAUUGUAGAACGACCGCCGAUAUAAGCAGCUAGCAGCUACUACUCUGACUCUUGUUUUGCUAGAAGUAUUGGUUUCUUCUCUCUUAUAACUGUGUGAAACAAUCUAA